CCUACGGGCGGCAGCAGUGAGGACUAUUGGUCAAUGGACGAGAGUCUGAACCAGCCAAGUAGCGUGAAGGAUGACUGCCCUAUGGGUUGUAACCUUCUUUUAUAAAGGAAUAAAACGAGGCACGUGUGCCUUUUUGCAUGUACUUUAUGAAUAAGGAUCGGCUAACUCCGUGCCAGCAGCCGCGGUAAUACGUAGGAUCCGAGCGUUAUCCGGAUUUAUUGGGUUUAAAGGGAGAGUAGAUGGGUUGUUAAGUCAGUUGUGAAAGUUUGCGGCUCAACCGUAAAAUUGCAAUUGAUACUGGCAGUCUUGAGUACAGUUGAGGUAGGCGGAAUUCGUGGUGUAGCGGUGAAAUGCUUAGAUAUCACGAAGAACCCCGAUUGCGAAGGCAGCUUACUAAACUGUGACUGACAUUGAUGCUCGAAAGUGUGGGUAUCAAACAGGAUUAGAUACCCCUGUAGUC
This 460-nucleotide ribosomal RNA is filed under the name uncultured bacterium. Its description in RNAcentral is "partial 16S ribosomal RNA". It matches the Rfam family "Bacterial small subunit ribosomal RNA", at positions 338 to 795 of the family's 1533-position model. The record is from RNAcentral.